Paramuricea clavata is the source of this 442-nucleotide non-coding RNA. Lineage: Eukaryota; Metazoa; Cnidaria; Anthozoa; Malacalcyonacea; Plexauridae. The record is from the annotation of a GenBank genome assembly.
AAUCAAAGAAUCUUCCCGUUGAACCAGAGCCUUCGCGACGCUUCAAUUUAUUAUUUACUGUCGAAGGAUCUGGAAUCCAGGGUAGCAGAUUUCCUGAAUUUUCCUUAAUCCUGAAUUUUUCCUUUUCGAUAGUAAAAUUUCCUGCAAUCAGGUAAAUUUCCUACAAUGUGGAAUCACUAAUUGGAACUGGCUAUUUUCACGGCUAUUUUGCAGGUUUCAUAUCUUUGAAUUUAAAUUCUGAAUAUCUUCCCAAGGAGUAUCUUUUCAAUACCGAAUUCCUCCAAGUCAAUCGAGUAAAAUACUCCUUGUAUUCAAGCGCUUUCGAAUUCAUGUAGAAAGUUAUGUCUGAAUACUGUUAUACGUAGUCGGAGAGUACAAAUAUUUAUUUUGAUAUUUUCAAAAUAUCGGGUUUUCACUCGCACGCGCGUGAAUAAAGAUGAAA